GCGGCAAUGGGAGCAACAGGCAGCUGAUUGGCGGUAUUCUAGGAGGCUGAUCCAACUGCCAAUCGGAGAGGUGGGAUUCAGACUGUUUGGAUGAACUGUUAAUUAAAUUUUGGAGAAUUGGCUGAUUCCACCAGUCGAGUUGUUAGCCAAGGACGCCCUGCCAUAGUGCCAGACCUGCUGCCUUGUCAGAGUUUGUUGCAGAAAAUCAAAUCCAGAAAGCACACACAGGUAACUGAUGCAGCAGGAUUCAUUAACUUCUCUUUAUAUACAAUAUAACACAUGAAGAUAAAUAUACAAUACCAAUGGCUGAUUCUUCCAACGUGGUAGAGAGGAGAGAUCAGGUUCAGUUCAGUUCAGAGAGGCAGAUAAGACCAGACUUGUUUAGUUCUCAGCACAAAAUUUAAUACAGACAAAGGGAACCUCCUCCAUACAGGGCAGUUAACCUAAGCCUAAGCCACGCCCAGGCUCCAAGCUGUUUCAGCUCCCAAACAGCCCUCAUUGGCUGACUUAGUUGCUAUGCUUAUACAUUGGCUGACCUUGUUACCUUGUCCUAUUCCAGCCAGUCCCCAAUGGCUGACCUGUUGCCAUGUCUAUCCCAGUUCAUGAAUAUUCUGACAAGACCUGCUGCCAGACCUGCCGCCUGACCUGCUGCCAGAUCGCUGCUGCCCCAUCACUGCUAGAUCUGCUGCCCAACCGCCGCCGCCCCAUCGCCGCCAGACCUGCCAUCCCAUCGCCGCUGUCUGAUCACCAUUAGCUGAGGACGACAACGCCCCAUCGCCGUUAGCCAAGAACACCCUGCCACACUGCUGGACCUGCUGUUUCGCUGCCAGACCUGCCUGAUCACCGUUAGCCACAGACGCUGGCGCCCUAUCGCUGUUAGCCAAGGACACCCUGCCACACUGCCGGAGCUGCUGCUUCACCGCUGGACCUGCUGUCCCAUUGUCACCGGCGGUGUAGAGGGCAGAUCUGCUGCCUGACCUGCUGUCCCAUUGCCGCCUGAACUGCCAUCUGACCUGCUGCCCCAUUGCUGCUGCCCGAUCGCUAUUAGCCAAGGACACUCUGCCACAUCACCGGACCUGCUGCCUGACCUGCCACUGGACGUGCCACCCCAUCGCCACCGCCUGAUCUGCCACCGGACUUGCCAUCUCAUCACUGCCAGAUCUGUCACCCAAUCACCAUUAGCCAAGGACGCCCUGCCACACUACCAGACCUGCCAACUCACCACAGGACCUGCCGCCCAAUUGCCACUGCGGACCUGCCACCUGACCUACUGGUGGACCUGCCGCCCCAUCGCCACCAGACCGCAUCAGAGAGAGAAAAAGAAAAAGACGCUACAUACCGGUACAACGAUGUCAAAGCAAAAAAGGCAAGCAUAUAAAAUCUAUUUCAAGCUGGAAGUCGUGAAAUAUGCUGAGGAAUAUGGAAACAGAGCAGCAGGGAAACAUUUUGGACCACCUAAAACUGAAAAAAUGAUAAGAAAGUCAAGGAAACAGGUGGAUCAGCUGCAAAAAAUCAAGGAUAAAAGCAAGCACAACUUUUGUAGGCUUCCUGCAAAGUGGCCACAGUUAGAGGAGGAUAUGAAAGACUGCAUCACACGUCACCGGAACAGUAGCUUUGCAGUUUCCACAAAAAAAUUGAUAUAUGAAGCCAAACACAUUGCUGCACAGAAAGGCAUUCGGGAUUUUAUUGGAUCGCCAUUGUGGGGCUUCAGAUUUAUGAGGAGAGAUGGUCUUGCUAUGCGCACCAAAACUAGAAUUACGCAAAAAAUGCCAAAAGGGUAUGAAUCUUAAGAUUCUGUCUUUUCAUACUUUUGUGAUAGUCCAGGAAGAAAAAUAAUUUUGAAAUUGGCCAGAUUGGGAAUAUGGAUGAAGUUCCGCUAACCUUUGAUGUGCCAUCCAAUAAGGUGCCAAAAGCAUAACCGUGAAUACCUCAGGAGAUGAGAAAAUACAUUACACGGUUGUGUUGUUCUGCUGUGCAGACGGCACCAAAUUGCCACCAAUGUUAAUAUUCAAAAGGAAAACCUUCCCAAAGGAAGUGAUUCCAAGAGGUGUUGUUGUGCAUGUCCAUGAGAAAGGAUGGAUGGACGAACAUGGAAUGAAAGUAUGGAUUGAAAAAGUGUGGUCCCAACGUCUGGGAGGGCUUCCGAAAAAACCUCCUUUGUUAGUGCUUGACCAGUUUAGAGCACAUAUUAGUGAAACCACAAAGAAAAGAUUCAAAGAAGUGAAGACUCAUCUAGCUGUAACUCCUGGGGCUCUUACCACCCUGUUGCAACCUCUUGACAUUUCCAUCAACAAACCAUUCAAAGUGUACAUGCGAGAAGAGUAGAACAAAUGGAUGGCUGCUGGUAAUCCUCAUCUGACACCCACUGGACGAAUGAGGAGGCACACUGUCACUCAGGUUUGUGAAUGGGUAAAAACAUAAUGAAACUCAGUGAAGGACGAAAUUGUUACACGAUCAUUCAAAAAAUGUGGCAUUAGCAAUGCCUUAGAUGGAACUGAAGAUGAUAUUUAUGAAGGUAGUGAAGAAAGUGAUGUCAGUGAUUGUGAGCAACUGAGCUUCCUAAAUUCUGACACCAGCGAUGAUGAUGAAUUCUUUGGGUUUCCAGAAAAUUAGAGGAAUGCUUGAACCUUAAAGUCUCUCCUCAUUUGUUAAUGACAGUCAUGAUGGUUCUUAAUACCGCUGUUGACUUUACAUGGUUGUUAAAAUUAUGCUUGGUUAUAAAAAUUAUUCUGCUAUAUUUUAUUAAAUAUAUUAUUACACCAUU
Molecule: non-coding RNA, 2764 nt
Organism: Pantherophis guttatus
Lineage: Eukaryota; Metazoa; Chordata; Lepidosauria; Squamata; Colubridae
Source: RefSeq, a predicted model, not a curated record